GACGAACGCUGGCGGCGUGCUUAACACAUGCAAGUCGAACGGAAAGGCCCUGCUUUUGUGGGGUGCUCGAGUGGCGAACGGGUGAGUAACACGUGAGUAACCUGCCCUUGACUUUGGGAUAACUUCAGGAAACUGGGGCUCAUACCGGAUAGGAGCUCCUGCUGCAUGGUGGGGGUUGGAAAGUUUCGGCGGUUGGGGAUGGACUCGCGGCUUAUCAGCUUGUUGGUGGGGUAGUGGCUUACCAAGGCUUUGACGGGUAGCCGGCCUGAGAGGUGGACCGGCCACAUUGGGACUGAGAUACGGCCCAGACUCCUACGGGAGGCAGCAGUGGGGAAUAUUGCACAAUGGGCGGAAGCCUGAUGCAGCAACGCCGCGUGCGGGAUGACGGCCUUCGGGUUGUAAACCGCUUUCGCCUGUGACGAAGCGUGAGUGACGGUAAUGGGUAAAGAAGCACCGGCUAACUACGUG
This 468-nucleotide ribosomal RNA is filed under the name uncultured bacterium. RNAcentral's name for it is "partial 16S ribosomal RNA". It matches the Rfam family "Bacterial small subunit ribosomal RNA", at positions 28 to 507 of the family's 1533-position model. The record is from RNAcentral.